UUUUCAUUGCUUGUUUAUCGGACGAUAUAAUUCAGAGUCUGACUCCGGCGAGCCCGCGUCAGAUUGCUCCAACGGCUGUUUCCAGCGUCUCGCCGAAGCAACGUCGAGUAGUCACGGGUGGAGUUCCUGAAGGAAAACUCGGUAAUGAUCCUUCCGCAGGUUCACCUACGGAAA
Molecule: unclassified non-coding RNA, 174 nt
Filed under: uncultured fungus
Lineage: Eukaryota; Fungi
Description: sequence contains ITS1
Source: RNAcentral